RNAcentral lists this ribosomal RNA (253 nucleotides) under uncultured prokaryote. Its description in RNAcentral is "partial 16S ribosomal RNA". It matches the Rfam family "Bacterial small subunit ribosomal RNA", at positions 525 to 777 of the family's 1533-position model. The record is from RNAcentral.
ACGUAGGUGGCAAGCGUUGUUCGGAAUUACUGGGCGUAAAGGGCGCGUAGGCGGGGAGGUAAGUCGGGUGUGAAAUCCCUCGGCCCAACCGAGGAACUGCGCCCGAGACUGCUUCUCUUGAGUCCCGGAGAGGAAGGUGGAAUUCCCGGUGUAGCGGUGAAAUGUGUAGAGAUCGGGAGGAACACCGGUGGCGAAGGCGGUGCUCUGGGCCUGUACUGACGCUGAGGAGCGAAAGCUAGGGGAGCGAACAGGA